This 390-nucleotide unclassified non-coding RNA is filed under the name Ixodes scapularis (black-legged tick). RNAcentral describes it as "uncharacterized LOC121834037, transcript variant X3". Lineage: Eukaryota; Metazoa; Arthropoda; Arachnida; Ixodida; Ixodidae. The record is from RNAcentral.
AGGACCAAUGCAGUGUGGAGGCCCACGGCCAGCAAGGUGCCCGGUCAAGGUGCCCGGUCAAGCCACGUCCCGCCAAGCCGGCAAUCCCAGCCGCCUGAAUGCAUUCCUCGCUGACGCUAGGGAAUAUUAAAUCCUGAACAUGACGCUGACAUGGAGGAAAUACUCAAGAUUCUCGAGUCGUCUGACAUCGAUUGUGACAGCAGUGAUGGCGACGACCCCGAUUGGCAGCUACAUGCUCCAGAUGCAAACAGCAGUGAUGAUGAAGGAGAAAACGAGGAAGCCACCCCGGUUCCUUCAACGUUAAAAGGGUUCUUUCCCCCGCCUUCAUCGUUAAGUGCGACAUUGAAGAAAAAGACCAGAAACGUUUCAUGGAAAGACCUUCACUGAAAA